CACUUGAAGAAUGAGACCACGUAAUUAAAAGUGCAUGUGGAAGGACACAAAAUUUUCACUUCGAAAUCAAAAGGUGCAGAUGGGUGCUGGGUCUUUUUUGUCUUCGGUGUUAAAAGAUGACGAUAUCCAGCGACUAGCAAAGCGUUGGACUCAACUGUCGUAGAAUGGGAAUGAAGACGUUUACUGGAGAGGAUUAACGUUCCUAUAACUCUCAAAACAGUGCUGAACUUCGGUGUAUAGAGUGAGUGUAACUGCAUCCUACACAGCCACACUCAAGCCAGGUUGGCCACCUUCUUUUGUGCUUGCACGGGGGACUGUUGGUAAUUUCAAGAUGGAUUGAUCGUACACCACAGAUGAUAUCUUAGAGUUACCAGCCGAUAAGUUGACUUGACUACCUCAUGCACAAGUGACAGGCAGGAUGCGUUUUCAGUCAAGAAGAGGAGUUAGGACCUGGGUGAACAACGUUGACAAUCCCAUUUUGGAUUGAUCAGACACCGCGUAUGUCUUAAAGUUACCAGUCGAUACGUUAAUAUAUCUACCAUAUGUACCAGUGACAGGUUAGAUAUCGCUUAACACUUCUGAGAAUACCUUCUUUUAUAGCCGUACUGUUCAGCGAAAGCUAAAUAUUUUAGAGGAGUUGAAAAUUAGAACUUGAAAAUAAUAUUUUAUUAUCGUAGUGAAGACCGCGAAUGUUUCUAAGGAAAAAAUAAACAGAAGUGAGGAUGGAUAGGAUUAGGAGCUUUCUUAAGAGCUUUCUUGUUUCUCUCUCUUGGCAUAAAGUAUUUUGGUUCACAAGGCGAGACGAAAUGCGAUACAUGUUUUCAAGACAUACACGACUGUUUAUGAUGCAGAAAACCCGCGAAAUUCAAAAUCAAUGACAGUACAUAUGUUAAUUCUAUCGACUGUCAUUCUGUAAUGAUUCAAUUAACAUGUCUCUGUCGUUGUUUACGCACAGCUCGACUAUAUCUUUCUUACGUGAUUUUUUCAGUAAAUAAGUUGAUAAGUUUAUUUAGUGGCAGUUGUAAGCUUAGAGUUGAAAAUGAAACUAUUCGGAAUCUUUGUAGCAGUACAAAGAAGGAAAAUAGUGGCCAUUAUGUAAUUGUGUUUAUCUUUAAUUUUUCAUAGGUUUUGUAAAAUUACCGUCCUCUAUGACAUUCAUGUAAUUCGAAAUCUAGUUGCAAAACGGCACGCAAAGACAAUUGAGUUUUGUUAAGCCAAACGGCAGAGUAAAGCCUCACUGGAUAUUGUUAAUAUUACGGGAACACAACAAGUUCAUCGCUAUCAGAGGAAAAUAACACAAGAUUCGUAAAUGAAGGUUUCGUUUAGAUCACAACAUCUUCGGAA
Long non-coding RNA from Orbicella faveolata, 1344 nucleotides. RefSeq lists it as uncharacterized. The record is from RefSeq and is a predicted model, not a curated record. NCBI's taxonomy places the organism in Eukaryota, Metazoa, Cnidaria, Anthozoa, Scleractinia, Merulinidae.